RNAcentral lists this ribosomal RNA (876 nucleotides) under uncultured archaeon. RNAcentral's name for it is "bacterial SSU rRNA". It matches the Rfam family "Archaeal small subunit ribosomal RNA", at positions 31 to 913 of the family's 1478-position model. The record is from RNAcentral.
UAUCGGAUUGAUACUAAGCCAUGCGAGUCAUUGUAGCAAUACAAGGCAUACGGCUCAGUAACGCGUAGUCAACCUAACCUAUGGACGGGAAUAACCUCGGGAAACUGAGAAUAAUGCCCGAUAGAACAUUAUGCCUGGAAUGGUUUAUGUUCCAAAUGAUUUAUCGCCGUAGGAUGGGACUGCGGCCUAUCAGUUUGUUGGUGAGGUAAUGGCCCACCAAGACUAUUACAGGUACGGGCUCUGAGAGGAGUAGCCCGGAGAUGGGUACUGAGACACGGACCCAGGCCCUAUGGGGCGCAGCAGGCGAGAAAACUUUGCAAUGUGCGAAAGCACGACAAGGUUAAUCCGAGUGGUUUCUGCUAAAGGAACCUUUUGUCAGUCCUAGAAACACUGAUGAAUAAGGGGUGGGCAAGUUCUGGUGUCAGCCGCCGCGGUAAAACCAGCACCUCAAGUGGUCAGGAUGAUUAUUGGGCCUAAAGCAUCCGUAGCCGGCUCUGUAAGUUUUCGGUUAAAUCUGUACGCUCAACGUACAGGCUGCCGGGAAUACUGCAAAGCUAGGGAGUGGGAGAGGUAGACGGUACUCGGUAGGAAGGGGUAAAAUCCUUUGAUCUAUUGAUGACCACCUGUGGCGAAGGCGGUCUACCAGAACACGUCCGACGGUGAGGGAUGAAAGCUGGGGGAGCAAACCGGAUUAGAUACCCGGAUAGUCCCAGCUGUAAACCAUGCAAACUCAGUGAUGCAUUGGCUUGUGGCCAAUGCAGUGCUGCAGGGAAGCCGUUAAGUUUGCCGCCUGGGAAGUACGUACGCAAGUAUGAAACUUAAAGGAAUUGGCGGGGGAGCACCACAAGGGGUGAAGCCUGCGGUUCAAUUGGAUUC